GUAGGUUCAUACCUAACUUCCGCAAAUUGUGAGGAAAGUCCACCCACUAAAUAAUCGGUCGCUUUUUUAAAAAAGUUCCAGAAAUGGAAGGCAACCGCUAAAGAAACGGAACGACCUUUUGAAGUUAAGCAAUGAUGUUGCGAAGUUUUUCGCGAGAAAAAUGAGAUAACCAGCUGAGUAUUUAAAAGGAAACGAUGAAACGAGCAUCCCGAUCAAGUGCAAGUCUUAAAGGCGCUUAGUUAAAUGUUAGGACAGUUUCUUCCUUAGGGAAAACUGACAGAAGGUGGCUUAUAUGGACCUAC
This 302-nucleotide RNase P RNA is filed under the name archaeon. RNAcentral describes it as "RNase P RNA component". It matches the Rfam family "Archaeal RNase P". Rfam says of the family: Ribonuclease P (RNase P) is a ubiquitous endoribonuclease, found in archaea, bacteria and eukarya as well as chloroplasts and mitochondria. Its best characterised activity is the generation of mature 5'-ends of tRNAs by cleaving the 5'-leader elements of precursor-tRNAs. Cellular RNase Ps are ribonucleoproteins. The record is from RNAcentral.